UUUAAAUUUGGCGGCAAGUUAAUCUGUAGGUGUGAGUGGAUGGAAAUAAAUUUCGAGCUGUCAAGAAUUUCGUGCGGCUUUGUUGUACUAGAUGUGAAGAAAAUUUUAAUUUCAUAAGUUGUACUUACAUGUGUCUUAUCAUCGGUGCCUUUCCUUGUUACUGAAAAGAGGACUACACAAAAACUGGACAUGGAAACGCAAGGUCGUUGUUAGGUUAUGUUUAUCACGAAGUGUUUAUAAGUUGGUAGUGGAGGAACAUUUAUUGACUAGGUUACAUUCCUGUUGAAAGGUAAUAAUAUUCAUUUGAACACAAACUAUCUUGGUUGAACAUAUAUUAAAGAGAAAGCAUCAAUAUCCGAGUGGCCUAUACGAGUUCUACCAUGCCGGGAACAGUAUGGAUCUGUACACAAUGAUGGAUGAACCACGUCGGCUUUUGGAUGAUAUAAAUUGUCUCGGGUAUUGGGAGACCACAAGGAUUUCGUCCUCUUCGACGGUUUAAUCGAGUUUGCUGUGCCAAAUGGGAGACGUACACGUCAGGUGUAGCGUGAUGCCGAUAUUCUAUUCAAGAUCUUUGACCCUUGCCGUUACAUAAUUCCUUUCUGAUAAUUUUGUUGUCCUAAAUUUUCUUUGUAGGACGAAUUUAUAACGAAAUAAAA
Molecule: non-coding RNA, 656 nt
Organism: Zootermopsis nevadensis
Lineage: Eukaryota; Metazoa; Arthropoda; Insecta; Blattodea; Termopsidae
Source: RefSeq, a predicted model, not a curated record